RNAcentral lists this ribosomal RNA (390 nucleotides) under uncultured bacterium Band3#390. RNAcentral's name for it is "bacterial SSU rRNA". It matches the Rfam family "Bacterial small subunit ribosomal RNA", at positions 985 to 1368 of the family's 1533-position model. Lineage: Bacteria; Pseudomonadati; Pseudomonadota; Gammaproteobacteria. The record is from RNAcentral.
CAUCUGGGGGCUGCAGCGAUGGGGGGCGCAGUGCCCGANGACAGGUGCUGNAUGGCUGUCGUCAGCUCGUGUCGUGAGNUGUUGGGUUAAGUNCCGCAACGAGCGCAACCCUUGUUCCUAGUUGCCAGCGGUUCGGCGGGGACUCUUGGGAGACUGCCGCGCGGAUAAACCGGGAGAGAGAGUGGGAGAGUGCGGCUAGAGGCAUCGACUGGGCCUUAUGGCAUGAGGGCACACACAGGGCGUACAAUGGGCGGUACAAAGAGGCGUGCACGACCCGCGAGGGGGAGCCAAUCCCAGAAAGGCGUUCGUAGUCCGGAUUGGAGUCUGCAACCCGACUCCAUGAAGUCGGAAUCGCUAGUAAUCGCAGAUCAGCAUGGCUGGGGGGGAAUA